This 446-nucleotide ribosomal RNA is filed under the name uncultured bacterium. RNAcentral's name for it is "SSU rRNA". It matches the Rfam family "Bacterial small subunit ribosomal RNA", at positions 26 to 518 of the family's 1533-position model. The record is from RNAcentral.
AGAACGAACGCUGGCGGCAGGCUUAACACAUGCAAGUCGAGCGCCCCGCAAGGGGAGCGGCGCACGGGUGAGUAAUACUUGGGAACGUGCCCUUCAGUGGGGGAUAACGUCGGGAAACUGACGCUAAUACCCCAUAUUCCCUCCGGGGGAAAGAUUUAUCGCUGAAGGAUCGGGCCCAAGCCAGAUUAUGGUAGUUGGUGGGGUAAAAGCCUACCAAGCCUACGAUCUGUAGCUGGUCUGAGAGGACGACCAGCCACACUGGAACUGAGACACGGUCCAGACUCCUACGGGAGGCAGCAGUGGGGAAUAUUGGACAAUGGGCGCAAGCCUGAUCCAGCCAUGCCGCGUGAGUGAUGAAGGCCUUAGGGUUGUAAAGCUCUUUUGCCAGGGAAGAUGAUGACGGUACCUGGAGAAUAAGCACCGGCUAACUUCGCGCCAGCAGCCGC